This is a long non-coding RNA of Drosophila montana, 963 nucleotides long. RefSeq lists it as uncharacterized. The transcript has 5 exons. The record is from RefSeq and is a predicted model, not a curated record. NCBI's taxonomy places the organism in Eukaryota, Metazoa, Arthropoda, Insecta, Diptera, Drosophilidae.
UUAGUUGGCAAUCAAAUCGUAUACGGAACACAACAAAUUUACCCAAAUUCCAAAAUUGUGAUUAUGUUUCGAGAUAUUUUUUGGCCAAUUGUUGUUUUCCUUAUAUGUAUUUUAAGAGAAUUGAGCAAAUAAUUUACUCAGCAUUUGUUCAUUAUUCAAUUGAGCCUUAUCUUUGCUUUAAUUUCUAUUUAAAUAUGUUGUUUCGCCAAACACAUUCUGUACAAAAUAACCAAAUUUUUGCAGAUCCCGCUGUCGCCCUUGCAUUCGCACACACGGGAACGAGAGACGGUUUCUAAGGUCACGCUAAACAGCACACUUAACAAUCUUACAAUUUGAUUUUCAAAAAAUACGACAAAGCAUAUAUAGAGCAUUAAUUUACUAGAAAUUUAUGAUGUAUCUUGUGGACGGGUACAAUGAUAACCGGACAUGGCACAAAGGACACAAGCUUUAUUCUAUAUCAAAAACAACUAUAUAGAUAGCCAUAUAUACAUAUAUUACAACGCGAUUGCCACUCCAUAUAGGUUACACAUGCAGCACACAAUUUAAACAGAUCGAGAUCGAUCGUGGAAUGUUUAACAGGCAACAUUGUUAAACCUGCUUCUGAAUUUCUUGGAUUGGUAAACUCCAGGACGGUACCUCGCUCAGUGAUGGGCGUUGCAGUUAGCGUCGUGUACGCUAAAUAAAUGCGAUCCAUUAAAUUUUGAAGACGAAGCUCAACACAUACUUGAUUAUCAGUUUAACCGACAAAUGUCGUUCAUUCGAAUUGCAGAAGGUCCCUACGAAGUUGUAAGUCGGAAAAUUGGAAACAUUCUUUGUGAAAUCGUAAUUGUAAAUCUCAACUAGUAUUACAGGACGAUACCACGCCCUAGGCUCGAGGGAGGGACGCGUAGAUUACGUAUAUUUUAAAUUUAAUUUAAUUUAAUUUAUGCCAAUAAAUUGCCUAAUUAUUUGAAGAAUACUAAA